GAUGAACGCUGGCGGCGUGCCUAAUACAUGCAAGUCGAGCGAACAGACGAGGAGCUUGCUCCUCUGACGUUAGCGGCGGACGGGUGAGUAACACGUGGAUAACCUACCUAUAAGACUGGGAUAACUUCGGGAAACCGGAGCUAAUACCGGAUAAUAUAUUGAACCGCAUGGUUCAAUAGUGAAAGACGGUUUUGCUGUCACUGAUAGAUGGAUCCGCGCCGCAUUAGCUAGUUGGUAAGGUAACGGCUUACCAAGGCAACGAUGCGUAGCCGACCUGAGAGGGUGAUCGGCCACACUGGAACUGAGACACGGUCCAGACUCCUACGGGAGGCAGCAGUAGGGAAUCUUCCGCAAUGGGCGAAAGCCUGACGGAGCAACGCCGCGUGAGUGAUGAAGGUCUUCGGAUCGUAAAACUCUGUUAUUAGGGAAGAACAAAUGUGUAAGUAACUAUGCACGUCUUGACGGUACCUGAUCAGAAAGCCACGGCUAACUACGUG
Molecule: ribosomal RNA, 497 nt
Filed under: uncultured bacterium
Lineage: Bacteria
Description: partial 16S ribosomal RNA
Rfam family: Bacterial small subunit ribosomal RNA
Source: RNAcentral